AGAGGGCCACUGGGGAACACCUUUAUGGAAUCAACACUGGAGACAUCUAUUAUUACAAAGCUAUUUAUUUUCUUAGGUAAACUAUGUAACUGUUAAAUAGGGUGUUAGCGUGACACUGCCAUGCUGAGAUCUGGAGAAGUUGACAGCAUUUUUAAACUGAAUUUUAGAUGGAUUGACUUGGCCAAAGGUACUGUGUAAAAACCCAAGAGAGCCUGUACUAUGUGCUAUACGGUAUUACAGCUGUAGAGCCUGUACUACAUGCUAUAAGGUAUUAUAGCUGUAGCCAUCACUACAGGACUUACUGUGCUACAACAGGACAAUAUGCAACUGGAACUGGGCUGAGACUUAAAAGCAUACACACGGACAUGGGUCAUCCUUGAUACAAGAAUGCCAAGUUUGUUGUGCUCAGGGGAAGUUUAUAUAGGACUCUGACCAUGCCCCAGCUCUCGGGAUCUUUCAGCUGCAGACCCACCAGCCUGAAAUCAAGGUCUCGUGCUCAGAGUAGCUGCAGGCUGCUCAGAGCAGAGGAAAACAAGUUGUUUUGCUUAGAGCAGCUGCAAGCAUAGGAAAGACAAGCUGCUCACAGGGAAUUCAGGAUCUGGGGGUCCACAGCCCCCAACAGUACUGUAGUUAGUGGGUGGAUCGACCCAGGACAUCUGUGUUCAAGAGGACCUUAUGCUUCCUAUUUCCCAAAAUGCUGAUGUGAAUACUGCAAGGCUUUAAUGCAUUAUGCUAACGUGUAUUUUCCCUCUGACUGCUUUCCAGAAGACCUGGUUUUCUAGAAACGAACUGAAAAGAUAGCUCUGAAACCAUGCAUAUGUGUGGACUUGAAACUUCAGGACCUCAAUUUAGGUUUGUAGCUUAACACUGAAAGGACCCCUUUGGACUCCUGGGACAACCAGAUGUCGUGAGACAAAGAGUAAGCUAAGGCCUAGAAGGGACGUUUUCUUAGCAUUUUCCGGGCACCAGUGCAAAUUCACCAAGAUCCAUGGCUCUCACUCUCCUGGCCUCUGCCUUACUUGAUGGGAUCAUGCUGCAGUCAGACCUCCUUCAAGCGCUUGCUGCUUCAGCUGCCUUGACUCCACUUUACUGGAGGGCGCAUACUUGCUGAGUGAGGUGCGGUGGCUAAUCUUUUUAUAGAUGUGAAGACUACAGGGUGCUGUGUAAGAAAGUUAGCAGGCUACAUGGUUAGCAUACAGACUCACUCUGACCAUUCCAUCUGAUAUACACCAGUAUGCUCCAAUCUGGACUGCUUACACACAGCUACCUGCUGAAUGCUAACAGAUCUUUCCUUCUAGCAGGAAUAAGAACUUAAGGCACUGCAGAAGAUGUGUGGAGGGCAGAAACCACGGUGAUGGUGCUUUGCUUGUUAAUAAUAUGAACCAAAGGGGGAAUGGCUCAAGUUUAUCCGGGGCAGGGGGAGGCUGUGAAUUCCAUCUGCAAUGGGCACACUCCUGUAGUAAAAAUUCUCCCUUUUAGCACUGGCAAAGACUAAUUUAAAGAAAAGUUUUUAUACAUUUUAUGUGGAGCCGAAGCUAGAAGAAAUUGGUGGAUCCCCUGGAAGUGGAUUUACAGACGGUUGUGAGUCACCAUGUGGGUGCUGGGAACCGAAUGCUGACCCUCUAGAAGAGCAGCAGUGCUCAUAACCAUUGAGCCAUUAUGAGCCUCCAGUCCACAUUAAUGACAGCAGGGAACUGGUACUACUAUUCUUAGAUGCAGCAGUCUGCCAUCCAGAUGAAGCAAGAGGAAGCUGGGGCUUUCUACACUGACCGCUGAGAAAGAUGAACCAAAACUCCUGCUCCAUGGUACUGAACAAGAUGACUACAGAACUAUAAAAUUUACCAUAGGAAAAUGGGAAGAGCAAUUUACAAUUCAACCAUCUUUAGUUCUGCCUCAAGAUCAAACAAGAUGUUGUAGAGAUGUCCUAACCGUCUGUAGUACAAUUCAAACCCUUACCCGCUACAAGAUCAAAGAGUUCAAUCCAACUGAUGUUAAGAAACUGUCAGAAUAGCUGAAUUGAGAAGGAGCAGGAGUAUUCCCCCAAGGGCAGCUAAUACUGGAGUUUACACCCAGAGGUAGUGAAAUUCCCUGCCUGAGAAACAAGUCAACAGAGAAAGCAGAACUGAGAACACAGCCGAGAGAAGGAAAGAAACAAUGUCGAAGGUGUGACCUCACUGCCUGGAUUCGAAUGCACCUUUGACAGCUUGCUCCGUUGCUGACUCUCAAGAGCCAAUUCACCUUCUCCCCUGUGGCCAGUCUAUACUGGAUUUCUGAACACACUUACCUUCAUAUUGCUUUUUUACUGUGUUUCCUAUAUCAGCGAACUUCCUGUCUUCAAAUAUUAAGAAGUCAUGGCGUUUUGCCAGAGCUGCCAACUCCUCCAUUACAUCCAGAGUAAAAUCAUUCAGAAUAUCAACGUGAGUUUUGAGCAAGCAGAUGCUGGGCCCCAAGGUAUCUGCUAGCUGCAGCAGCUCUCUGGCCUCUGAUACAUCAGCAGACAGACACAGAUUGCUCUCCUUCUUCUGCAUAAGCCUGAGAAGUUUUGAGGCAAGCGGGUGGACUCCGGGCAGCUCUGCUCGAGCACCAAAGCUGAGUUCUUUGCAUGCUUUCUUCUCAGGAGGGGGAACGCCAUUCUGAUUAGCUGCUGCGAAAACGUUCUCCUGAAUGAACCUCUUCACGCUCCCAACCAUCUCAGCAUCGAUUUUUUUCUGCUGCUCGAGAAUCUCCAGCAUUUCAGACAACGUGCACACGGAGUGGAGACGGAUCCCGCGAGCCUGCAGCUUGUCCUUGCCACCCUGCUCACGGUCUAGCAGCACAAUGGCGUCAGUCACCUUCAGGCCCUCCUUCUGAAGAACUUCAACAGUUUCCAAAACACUGGCCCCACUGGUGACGACAUCCUCAAUGAUCAGGCAGGUCUGCCCCGGAUUAAUCUCUCCUUCUACAAGACGCUUGGUACCUAAAACAGAAAUAUAUAAAAUGUUUCAGCUACCUCAAGACAUAUCUGGGCCUACGCUUACUGUGCACACAAAGAAUUAAGAUUCUGUAAAUCUGAUUUAUGAUCAUUUACUUUGAAGCUACUGUUGAUUUUUCAAUGUGCUACACUGCUUAGUUCAGUAUCCUCUGUAUCUCCAAAUUACCAAUUGUAUAAUGUUACAGUAAAACUGACAAAUUAUCUUACAAUGUAAAUACUCA
Long non-coding RNA from Arvicola amphibius (Eurasian water vole), 3192 nucleotides. RefSeq lists it as uncharacterized. The record is from RefSeq and is a predicted model, not a curated record. The transcript has 3 exons. Lineage: Eukaryota; Metazoa; Chordata; Mammalia; Rodentia; Cricetidae.